UCCCUGGAGGUCCAGUGGUUAGGAUACUGUGCUUCCACUGCAGGGGGUGGAGGUUUGAUCCCUGACCAGGGAA
Molecule: transfer RNA, 73 nt
Filed under: Bos taurus (domestic cattle)
Lineage: Eukaryota; Metazoa; Chordata; Mammalia; Artiodactyla; Bovidae
Also listed under: 2 other names
Rfam family: tRNA
About the family: Transfer RNA (tRNA) molecules are approximately 80 nucleotides in length. Their secondary structure includes four short double-helical elements and three loops (D, anti-codon, and T loops).
Source: Rfam by way of RNAcentral